AAUCAACGCUGGCGGCGUGCCUCAGACAUGCAAGUCGAACGAUUAAACUUUCCUUCGGGGAAGAUAUAGAGUGGCGCACGGGUGAGUAACACGUAAGUAAUCUACCCUUGGGUGGGGAAUAACAUCGGGAAACCGAUGCUAAUACCGCAUAAUGCAGCGGCUUCUUAUGAAAGACAGUUGUUAAAGCAUUUAUGUGCCUGAGGAGGAGCUUGCGGCAGAUUAGCAGUUGGUAAGGUAAUGGCUUACCAAGGCGACGAUCUGUAGCCGACCUGAGAGGGUGGUCGGUCACACUGACACUGAAUAACGGGUCAGGACUCCUACGGGAGGCAGGCAGUCGGGAAUUUUGGGCAAUGGGCGCAAGCCUGACCCAGCAACGCCGCGUGAAGGAUGAAGUAUUUCGGUAUGUAAACUUACGU
Molecule: ribosomal RNA, 416 nt
Filed under: uncultured bacterium
Lineage: Bacteria
Description: bacterial SSU rRNA
Rfam family: Bacterial small subunit ribosomal RNA
Source: RNAcentral